RNAcentral lists this ribosomal RNA (514 nucleotides) under uncultured bacterium. RNAcentral's name for it is "bacterial SSU rRNA". It matches the Rfam family "Bacterial small subunit ribosomal RNA", at positions 32 to 518 of the family's 1533-position model. The record is from RNAcentral.
AACGCUGGCGGCGUGCCUAAUACAUGCAAGUCGAACGGUCUUUCUAUGGAAGCUUGCUUCCACUGAGAAGAUAGUGGCGAACGGGUGAGUAACACGUGGGUAACCUGCCCAUAAGAGGGGGAUAACAUCCGGAAACGGGUGCUAAUACCGCAUAGUUUUCUUGAUCGCAUGAUUGAGAAAGGAAAGACGGCCUUUGUGCUGUCGCUUAUGGAUGGACCCGCGGCGUAUUAGUUAGUUGGUGAGGUAAUGGCUCACCAAGACGAUGAUACGUAGCCGACCUGAGAGGGUGAUCGGCCACAUUGGGACUGAGACACGGCCCAAACUCCUACGGGAGGCAGCAGUAGGGAAUCUUCCGCAAUGGACGAAAGUCUGACGGAGCAACGCCGCGUGAGUGAAGAAGGUUUUCGGGAAUCGUAAAGCUCUGUUGUCAGAGAAGAACAAGUUGGAGAGUAACUGCUCCAGCCUUGACGGUAUCUGACCAGAAAGCCACGGCUAACUACGUGCCAGCCGCAGC